AGUAACACGUGGAUUAUCUGCCCCAAUGACCGGGACAACUCGAGGAAACUCGAGCUAAUACCGGAUGUGCUCUUCGGAGGAAAGGAAGCUUCGGCCUCCGCAUUGGGAUGAGUCCGCGGCGCAUUAGCUAGUUGGUGGGGUAAAAGCCUACCAAGGCGACGAUGCGUAGCUGGUCUGAGAGGACGAUCAGCCACACUGGAACUGAGACACGGUCCAG
This 217-nucleotide ribosomal RNA is filed under the name uncultured bacterium. RNAcentral's name for it is "partial 16S ribosomal RNA". It matches the Rfam family "Bacterial small subunit ribosomal RNA", at positions 109 to 334 of the family's 1533-position model. The record is from RNAcentral.